This 459-nucleotide ribosomal RNA is filed under the name uncultured bacterium. RNAcentral's name for it is "partial 16S ribosomal RNA". It matches the Rfam family "Bacterial small subunit ribosomal RNA", at positions 338 to 795 of the family's 1533-position model. The record is from RNAcentral.
CCUACGGGUGGCAGCAGUGAGGAAUAUUGGUCAAUGGCCGGAAGGCUGAACCAGCCAAGCCGCGUGAGGGAAGAAGGUACAGAGCAUCGUAGACCUCUUUUGUCGGGGGACAAAGGCCGGGACGCGUCCCCGGAUGAGUGUACCCGAAGAAAAAGCAUCGGCUAACUCCGUGCCAGCAGCCGCGGUAAUACGGAGGAUGCGAGCGUUAUCCGGAUUUAUUGGGUUUAAAGGGUGCGCAGGCGGGCCUUUAAGCCGGCGGUAAAAUCGCGGGGCUCAACCCCGGCGAGCCGUUGAUACUGGGGGUCUUGAGUGCGACAGAAGUAUGCGGAAUGCGCGGUGUAGCGGUGAAAUGCAUAGAUAUCGCGCAGAACCCCGAUUGCGAAGGCAGCGUGCCGUGUCGCCACUGACGCUGAGGCACGAAAGCGCGGGGAUCGAACAGGAUUAGAUACCCUUGUAGUC